RNAcentral lists this ribosomal RNA (512 nucleotides) under uncultured bacterium. Its description in RNAcentral is "partial 16S ribosomal RNA". It matches the Rfam family "Bacterial small subunit ribosomal RNA", at positions 28 to 507 of the family's 1533-position model. The record is from RNAcentral.
GAUGAACGCUGGCGGCGUGCCUAAUACAUGCAAGUCGAACGAAACUUCUUUAUCACCGAGUGUUUGCACUCACCGAUAAAGAGUUGAGUGGCGAACGGGUGAGUAACAUGUGGGCAACCUGCCCCAAAGAGGGGGAUAACACUUGGAAACAGGUGCUAAUACCGCAUAACCAUAGUUACCGCAAGGUAACUAUGUAAAAGGUUGCUAUACUACCGCUUUUGGAUGGGCCCGCGGCGCAUUAGCUAGUUGGUAAGGUAAAGGCUUACCAAGGCAAUGAUGCGUAGCCGAAUUGAGAGGGUGAUCGGCCACAUUGGGACUGAGACACGGCCCAAACUCCUACGGGAGGCAGCAGUAGGGAAUCUUCCGCAAUGGGCGAAAGCCUGAUGGAGCAACGCCGCGUGGGUGAAGAAGGUCUUCGGAUCGUAAAACCCUGUUGUUAGAGAAGAAAGUGCGUGAGAGUAACUGUUCACGUUUCGACGGUAUCUAACCAGAAAGCCACGGCUAACUACGUG